CAAAGAAUAGUUUAGCUGAAGAAUCCUAGCUUUGGGAGUUAGGGGCAAGAGUUGAAAUCUCUUUUCUUUGA
Molecule: transfer RNA, 71 nt
Filed under: Sphaeramia orbicularis (orbiculate cardinalfish)
Lineage: Eukaryota; Metazoa; Chordata; Actinopteri; Kurtiformes; Apogonidae
Description: tRNA-Pro
Rfam family: tRNA
About the family: Transfer RNA (tRNA) molecules are approximately 80 nucleotides in length.
Source: RNAcentral